AUGAACGCUGGCGGCGUGCCUAAUACAUGCAAGUCGAGCGAACAGAUGAGGAGCUUGCUCCUCUGACGUUAGCGGCGGACGGGUGAGUAACACGUGGAUAACCUACCUAUAAGACUGGGAUAACUUCGGGAAACCGGAGCUAAUACCGGAUAAUAUAUUGAACCGCAUGGUUCAAUAGUGAAAGACGGUUUUGCUGUCACUUAUAGAUGGAUCCGCGCCGCAUUAGCUAGUUGGUAAGGUAACGGCUUACCAAGGCAACGAUGCGUAGCCGACCUGAGAGGGUGAUCGGCCACACUGGAACUGAGACACGGUCCAGACUCCUACGGGAGGCAGCAGUAGGGAAUCUUCCGCAAUGGGCGAAAGCCUGACGGAGCAACGCCGCGUGAGUGAUGAAGGUCUUCGGAUCGUAAAACUCUGUUAUUAGGGAAGAACAAAAGUGUAAGUAACUAUGCACGUCUUGACGGUACCUAAUCAGAAAGCCACGGCUAACUACGUG
RNAcentral lists this ribosomal RNA (496 nucleotides) under uncultured bacterium. Its description in RNAcentral is "partial 16S ribosomal RNA". It matches the Rfam family "Bacterial small subunit ribosomal RNA", at positions 29 to 507 of the family's 1533-position model. The record is from RNAcentral.